UGAGUACGAGCUGCUACGGCAGCGAAGUGGGUGACGUCAAGCUUCCAAGAAAAGCCCUAUACCCGUUAAGGCAUGAUGGCCUGUACCCGAAACCGACACAGGUGGGGUGGUAGAGAAUACCGAGGGGCGCGAGAUAACUCUCUCUAAGGAACUCGGCAAAAUGGCCCCGUAACUUCGGGAGAAGGGGUGCCACCGCAAGGUGGUCGCAGUGAAGAGGCCCAGGCGACUGUUUACCAAAAACACAGGUCUCCGCUAAGUCGCAAGACGAUGUAUGGGGGCUGACGCCUGCCCAGUGCCGGAAGGUUAAGGAAGCUGGUCAGCGUAAGCGAAGCUAGCGACUGAAGCCCCGGUGAACGGCGGCCGUAACAAUAACGGUCCUAAGGAAGCGAAAUUCCUUGUCGGGUAAGUUCCGACCCGCACGAAAGGCGUAACGAUCUGGGCGCUGUCUCGGAGAGAGGCUCGGCGAAAUAGAAUUGUCUGUGAAGAUGCGGACUACGUGCACCCGGACAGAAAGACCCUAUGAAGCUUUACUGUAGCUUGGUAUUGUGCUCGGGCUCGGAAUGCGCAGGAUAGGUGGGAGGCUAUGAACCAUUGCUUGUGGGUGAUGGUGAGCCACUGGUGAGAUACCACUCUUUCCGAGCUAGAGUUCUAACAGCCACCCGUUAUCCGGGGGCUGGACAGUAUCAGGUGGGCAGUUUGACUGGGGCGGUCGCCUCCUAAAAGGUAACGGAGGCGCGCAAAGGUCUGCUCAGGCUGGUUGGAAAUCAGCCGACGAGUGUAAAAGCAGAAGCAAGCUUGACUGUGAGACCUACAAGUCGAACAGGGAGGAAACUCGGCUUUAGUGAUCCGACGGUUCUGCGUGGAAGGGCCGUCGCUCAACGGAUAAAAGUUACUCUAGGAUAACAGGCUGAUCUCCCCCAAGAGUUCACAUCGACGGGGAGGUUUGGCACCUCGAUGUCGGCUCAUCGCAACCUGGGGCUGAAGUCGGUCCCAAGGGUUGGGCUGUUCGCCCAUUAAAGCGGUACGCGAGCUGGGUUCAGAACGUCGUGAGACAGUUCGGUCCAUAUCCGGUGCAUGCGCAGGAAUAUUGAGAGGAUUUCUCCCUAGUACGAGGGGACCGGGAGGAACGCACCUCUGGUGUACCAGUUAUCGUGCCAACGGUAAACGCUGGGUAGCCAUGUGCGGAGAGGAUAACCGCUGAAAGCAUCUAAGUGGGAAGCCCACCUCAAGAUGAGUAUUCCCAUGGGUUAACCCAGUAAGGUCACGGGAAGAACACCCGUUGAUAGGCUCUACGUGGAAGCGCAGUAAUGUGUGAAGCGGAGGAGUACUAAUAGACCGAGGGCUUGACC
This 1349-nucleotide ribosomal RNA is filed under the name metagenome. RNAcentral's name for it is "bacterial LSU rRNA". It matches the Rfam family "Bacterial large subunit ribosomal RNA", at positions 1564 to 2925 of the family's 2925-position model. The record is from RNAcentral.